RNAcentral lists this ribosomal RNA (464 nucleotides) under uncultured bacterium. RNAcentral describes it as "bacterial SSU rRNA". It matches the Rfam family "Bacterial small subunit ribosomal RNA", at positions 338 to 795 of the family's 1533-position model. The record is from RNAcentral.
CCUACGGGUGGCAGCAGUGGGGAAUAUUGCACAAUGGGCGCAAGCCCGAUGCAGCCAUGCCGCGUGUAUGAAGAAGGCCUUAGGGUUGUAAAGUACUUUCAGUUAGGAGGAAGGCGUUGAUACUAAUAUCAUCAACGAUUGACGUUACCAACAGAAGAAGCACCGGCUAACUCCGUGCCAGCAGCCGCGGUAAUACGGAGGGUGCAAGCGUUAAUCGGAAUUACUGGGCGUAAAGCGCACGCAGGCGGUUGAUUAAGUUAGAUGUGAAAUCCCCGGGCUUAACCUGGGAAUGGCAUCUAAGACUGGUCAGCUAGAGUCUUGUAGAGGGGGGUAGAAUUCCAUGUGUAGCGGUGAAAUGCGUAGAGAUGUGGAGGAAUACCGGUGGCGAAGGCGGCCCCCUGGACAAAGACUGACGCUCAGGUGCGAAAGCGUGGGGAGCAAACAGGAUUAGUACCCCCGUAGUC